This 40051-nucleotide long non-coding RNA is filed under the name Prunus persica (peach). RNAcentral describes it as "long non-coding RNA (PPER_LNC007529)". The record is from RNAcentral. Lineage: Eukaryota; Viridiplantae; Streptophyta; Magnoliopsida; Rosales; Rosaceae.
UUUUUUUUUUUUUUUCUCUCCUUUUUUUGGUUCUCCUUAGAUUUUGGAGAGGAUGAGGAUGGGCCCAUAAUCUCCUAGUGAAAUAUUCAAAGUCCAUUUGCAUGAGAUAUGGGCUGGGCUGUAGUAUAAUUGGGGAGUGAUGGGCUUAAAAUUGGAAUGUGGGCUCAAAAACUAUCCACAACAGGUCUAUGUUGAGAGGUUCAAUAUGGCCCCUCGUUAUUGAUCUGAAACCUAGUAAGGACCCCUCGUUAUAACCCCUCUUUCAUUGCAGUCUUUCUGAUAAAUUAUUAGGGAAGAAUAAUAUAAAGGGUCCGAAUCCAAUUUAAUAUGAGUUGGUAGGAUCCUUAAAAUCCUGGUAAUGAUGUUCCUACUUGGUAGCUCACAUGAUAUAGGAAUCUUUGUAAUGUAACAUGACUCAACUACAAUCUGCCCAACUCAUAUUAAAUUAGUAUAAUCUUAGUAAUGUAAAAUAGCGUUAUUCCCGUUUCAUUGAAGUCUUUCCUCUAAUAGAGAGAAGAGGAGAGGAGAGGUGAUUUGGUUUGGUUGGUCACGUGGUGGCUCACCCACUGAGUCAGCAGCAGAACCUCAUUCGCCACCGCUUGGCUUGGAGUCUUGGACACUUCGUAUGCUUUUGGACCAAAAAAAUUAAAAAAAACAGUUUGUAUGAUUUGCCAUUAAGUUGCACUGCAGCUUCCUCACCCUUUCCAUUCCCUUUCUCAAUUCUCACACGCACUCUCUCUCUGACCUUUUUUUUUUUUUGGUCCUGUUUUUCUCAUAAUCUUUUUACUUACUUUUUAAAGAUCUAACUCACAUUUAUAAUUGAGAAGAGAGAGAGCAAGAGAGAGCAGAAGAGGAUUGAUGCAGAUUGUUUUUGCAACCAUCAAUGGUAUGGACCCUCACUUGUCUUGUCUGCCACCACCAUCUUCAUUUCACUCUGAUUAUUCUCAUCAUUCACUACUCUCUUCUUCUUCUUAAAGCCUUUUUGCUUGUAUUAUUGCUCUUCUGUCUUAUAAUCUCCUCUUCCUUAAAUCAUAUUACAGGAUCAUAUUGGAAGACAUAGACAUGGAUCAUUUGUAAGACAAAUAUAAGCACUUGCUUUCUUUUGUUUUAAUUUUGAGCUGCCUUGGUAGCUAGCUAGCUAGCUGCAAUGGCUGGGAUGCUUCCUGGUGUGGAAUGCGCUCGAAGGAGACGAGUCCAUCAAAGCGGCGAGUCACCAGGCGUGGGCACACAUGGCUGGACCAGGCGCUCCUCUUUUUGUUUGUAUGCUAGCAACCAUGAAACUCACCAUACCUCCACCUUUUCCCUGGUAAUUAUCUGCCUUAUGCCUUCUGCCACACGAUAUAACAAAUUAUGUUACAAACCAACUAUAUAUAUUUCUUAACUUUUCUUGAUUGUUUUAAAGCAAAGAAGCAUAUUGAACCAAUCAUACAUGGAUGAGAAACUGGGAGUGGAAGCCCGAGAAGCUAAAGGGAGAUUAGAUGAAAGACUCAGAACACAGAGAAAAUCAGAACCCAAUAAAAGGUAAUUAAGAACAAAUUGCCAAUAACAUAACAUGUGUUGUUGAUUAUCUUAUCUAUGUGUUUUACAUGUUUUGUUGUAUGAUGAAUUCAGGCAUAGUGUUCAUAGAGAAGAAGAGAGAUGUGUGGAUGGUGGAAGAUCUAUGUUUCUUCUCGGAGAAUUGCAGAAAGAAGUCUUUGGAACAAAGAAGAGCGGGUCAAAGAGGUUCAGCUGGGCCAAGUUGAGCUGGAAGGCCUCAGACCAAGAUGAGUGUGCUGUCUGCCUGGAAAUAUUCAGGCCUCGUGAGACCCUGGUGCACCUGCCCUGUGCACACAGGUUCCAUUCUGGCUGUAUGGUUCCAUGGCUACAGAACAAUGCCCAUUGCCCCUGUUGCAGAAUGGGGAUUGUCUCCCAGUAAAAAUCUCUUUUGUACUUUUGGUAAAAAUGGAAAUUGUAAUCUAGAUAAAGCUUUUCCAGUUAUAGUUAUAGAGUUGGUCUGAGCAAUUAGCUUGUAUCUAAUCUACCAUAUCUUAGUUUUUCUUUGGUUGAAGUGAAAAGUUGCCAAGUAGUCUUUGAUUCCCCAAUCAUGGUAAAUACUUAAAGUUAAUUAGAAGCUGCAACAUGUUGUUAGGCCCAUAUAAUUCCUCCACUUGCAUGAGAAAGGGAGGGAGGGAGCUUCUUGUCAUCUUCCAUCCUUGAAGGAUGAAAAAUAGACAAGGUAUUUUGUUUGACAAGACUUCAAUUUGUGAAACAAAUAAGUGGAUGAAUCAAAUUGCACAAGAGAUCACUGUCUAUCCAUUGUUUUCUUCCCCCAACCUAAAAUUGAAUACCAGAUGAGAAGAUGCACCACUCACUCAUCAUGUGGGCAGUGGGCCAAGAACAGCUUCAUUAUUUUGGGACAAUCUUUGCUGUCUUGUCUGGUCGACCUAUUUUUUUUUUUUGUUUUAGUGGAAAUUAUUUGUGGUCGUACUAAUCAAAUGACAUAUCUUGGCUGUAAAUUAUGGGAAGCAAAAUGACCAUUCGGCUAAGUAAGUGGUAGAUGAGAUUGUUAUAAACAAUUGCAACAUUAUAUGAUACCUUGAAGAUGGAAUGUCAUUUUCAAGAUUGGGAUAGUAAAGAAGCUGGCAUUGCUAACUAGGAUUCCAUCCUAAUUUGGCUAAACUUUUCUUCUUUUCUUCCCAAACCCACCUUUCCUUUUUUUUGUUCCUUUCACUGGCUAGCUGGACUUCACUACAGAUUAGAUUAGAUCCUAAUCUUUUGUCUUGAUUAUUAAUGGAGAGAUGAUUUGUUGAUUUUUAAGAUAAGCUUUGAUUAUUUGUUUAUUCUUUUUUCUUUUGAUUGGAGUGGAGUGUGAGUGAUACAAGAGUCCAAAACGUUUGAAAGUUUUCACAUGUGAUGUGACUCAGACAUAGCCUUCGGUAGCACGUUUGAAAGUUUACCUGUCUGGUUUUUAAAGAGCCAUAUAAUACAAGUUUUGUUUAAAAAAUAACUCAUUUUACACAGCCAGCCUUAAAAAGUUUAGAAAACUAACAUAUUUUAGAUUAUGUCAAGAUAUUGCCAUAAUCGAAAUUGAGUCGAUAUGUGACUUAAUAUGGAGGUUGAGAUGAUGGUACAAAAUUUCGAAAUCUCAAAUAACACUUCGACCUAAUUUUGAUAAUGUCAAGUUCAAAACAAGUUAGUUUCUAAAUUUGAAGAAUUAAAAUAUCUAUUUUUCAAAUUUUUAGGAAUAAGAGAAGGUGAAUUUUGCACAUAUCUCCCCUACCAAAGGCUAAGACUAAGAAUGUCAAGGCACCUUUUGUAGGGGAAGAAAACACUCUAUUAUUGCCAAGGGAAACGUACCAAAACCGACGACGUUUCAUCAACCGCAUAUUUCAUUAUUUUGCCACCAUGUGAUUUUACCUUUUUAGGCUCUCCGCAACGGCUAGUUCCUAGUGACCGUUUCCCGUCUUCCCAAAUUCAAAAUCUGAAAUCGACCUCUAAGUCUAACCCACCAUCAGCUUCACAGUGUGUUUCACUAUACAAACAACGCCCACAAGCCAAAACCAAAAUCACAGCUCUGGCAAUUUGCAGAAACAUUCGAUCUCGCUUAAACCCAUUUAGCAAUUCAAAUCAAGAUCCCAGAAUUUCAAGAAUGGUGUAUUCAUACGCACCCACAUACUACUCUACUCUCCAUGACUCGGUGACCAACUUAUGCAAGACCAUUCUUCCUUUCAGCUUCAAGAAACGGAGGUUGCCAGCUGCAGAGCACAAGCUUUCAAAGCUGCAAUCAGACAAUCUCAAAUGGCAGCAAGACUCUUUCCACCAGAUGUUAAAUUUGAUGGGUCUUCAUAAAGAAGGCAUUUUGGCUGAGACUGAGGUCUCAGCUUUCCGCUCGCAUUUGCUUGACACCCUAAUCGCCUCUCCCACUGAGCGUGAACAAUCGGCUAUAUUGAGAGACAAGUUGCUAUUCUUGCAGGUAAACCAGUCUUCCCUUUUUUCUUCUUCUUCAUUUUCCUUUCUUUCAUUGUGUUUUCUAAGUAACCAAACGGGAAUAAUUAAUUAAUGAAGCUUUAAAUCUUUAGGAACUUUUGUAUGCAAAAUGCAUAUCUGAAGAUGAGUACCAUUCUUCCAAGAGGCCAUUGCUGCAACGAUUAGCAGUACAGGGAGCUGAGAUUGAGGCCAGAGAUGUAAUUGUUGCAGGGCUACCACCUAAGGACCCAAAGGAGAAUACUGAUCAAGAGCAGUGGUCUGUCAUUGACUUAAAGGAUGAGAAAUGCUUGCUAAACAAGGACAAAGAUAAGUCAAAUUCGAAGAACAAAUCGAAGCAUGGCUCUGCAAUGAAGCAAAUUAAAGGAGCAGCUUCAGUUUUGGGCUUUGUAUCACCUUACAAACAGGGGAAAAGCAGAGAAGAAAGGAGCAUAUUCGAUUUGCCCGAGUCGUCGAAAGUGUCUUCCUCUAGCUCUUCUAAGCAUGAAUUAGGAUAUCAUUACAAAGAAAAUGAGGCCAGGUCGAUUCUCAUGCCAGAAAGCUUGCCACAGGAGCCGGUGAAAGAAAGUGGCAGCUCAGAUAGAACAAGGAGGAAACCCUUUAAGAAUCUGUUUCAGAGAGAGCAGAGAGAGGGACAUGGUGUUGGAGGUGGAGGUGGUAAUCAUGGUCAUGAAAAUGAACAAACACCUUCCAAAUCAGCCAAAAAGCAAUGGGGUUUUGAUGGAUUCAAGAAAUGGAAGAGAAGUGACUCGGAGGAUGAGACAACUCCUUUGCCUCUUAAUGAAAGAUCGGAUAGUGAGGUUCACUUGAAGCUUGUCUCAAGCCCCAUGGGUGAAGGGCCGGACACUAAGCUUAUAAAAAGGAAGCUGCUUUCUGAUGGUUCUCCUUCUGAUUUCUUCAUUGAUAAGGUAGCAAAUCUUUAUUUCAAUUUCUUAUUCUUUGGGAUAAUAUUUGAAGCUUGAGCUGAAACUGAACUUGGUCAAUUUGUUCUUAAUAUGAAGGUUUUAGGGGAGAAGAUAAAAAAGGAGCUGUCAAGAAUUCAGACAGAGCUUUGCACUUCAAAUCCAAAUCUUAAAUUUUCGUAAGCCUCUUCUAUUAUCUGACAUUUGGUGACUAUUUAGUAUGUGCAUUGUAUUGAAAAGCAAUCUUUCUUUCACAAAUAUAAUCAGGAAUGACCAAAUCGAAGCGAUUUCCACCAAGCUUCCCGUCGACAAGGCAGACCUGAAGAAGUUCUUUCCCAAGUGAGCAAACUCUCUCUUUUUGUGCUGUUUCAUCCUCCAGUAUUUGAGCAUAUAAGCUAAAACCAUCACACUUACACUUCUUAUUUAUUUAUUUACUCUUUUAUUUUCGAUGUUUAAGGUCAUGGUGUGAUCGGUAUGGAGAUGUUGUUUUGGAUGUGGUGAAAAAAGAAUUCAAGGACCAUGUUGGGGAGAUGGAGAGCUUGAGAAAUGCUGCCAGAGAGAAACAUGGCAUGAACUCAGCUCGAUGGACGACAUUCCAAGACGAUGAGGAGAAUUGUCACCCGAAUCUCUUUGCUUCCGGAGAUCAUUCACACCAUACUUCGAAGUUCCAUGAAACCAAUCCUUUCUGCGAUGAUCACACUCCUAGUGAUGGAAGGAAGCUGAGAUCUAAACCAGCUUUUACACAAGACCACCAGAAUCCCUUUUGGAUCCCAGGGCAUGGCUAUUGAUGAGGACACACAUAUUUUGGGUUUAAUCCCUUUUCUAAGAGUAUUGGUAUUAUCAGUUUAUUGGUGUAUUUUAUUUUGAUUGUCAAAUUGCUGAAUGUGUAUGAACUUUGAGAGAAGAUCUCUGUUCUCCAAGUAAUUCAAACUCUAUGUCUGACUUGUAAAUUUAGGGAAUGUAACAUCCUCCUAUUGUUCGGAAUUUGAUUUGCUCCUGGGGGUUUACCUUUUUUCUAAAUUAGAUAUAUAUCAGCAAUCCAACUCUAAUUUAUCUACUAAUUUAACUCUUUGCUGCAUGCUAAAGGGCCUUGAUACAAAUAUCAAAGAUGCGUUUGAUAGAUGCACAUUCAUACAAUUAUCUCAUUUUCUGCAUCUCUAUACAAGUACUACAAAGCCGCAUCAUGAGAAAAAGAUGCUACAAUAUUGUGGAUCGUGGAAAAUUCUGAUACAAGUUAGUGUUGGAGGACAGAUAACAUGUCAUUGUAAAAGCGAAGAACCAUCAUAACUAUUUACAUCAAUACGUACAAUUAUAUCAAACAGAAGAUAUCUCCGAGUUGGAGACGGAACAGUCAGUGAUGACGCCCUCACGAACAUCUCCUCGGCAAAGUGGACAAACGCUGUAAGAGGGAGGAAAGAGGCAGUAGGGAAAGAACAGAAAGACUUUCAGUAUGAAACAAGGGAAAUGAAGGACAAUCAUUUGAAAGUGGUGGGGGGGCAAUGACAAUACCCGUGUAUCUCUUUGAGCCACUUAUCAACACAUGACAUGUGAUACUCAUGAUGGCAAGGAAGAACUCGAAUUUUGUCCCCUUCCUCAUACUCAGCGAGGCAUAUGUAACACCUAUCAAUUAUUAACUCACCAUGAUCAAACAAAUGCAUUAAAUAAGAAAACACUGAAUCCCACAAAUCAGAAAACACUCAGCAACACCAAACCCCCCCAACCAAGAGAAAAAUAGGCAUAAAUUAAAUAAAACUUACUGUGCAACAUCAUCCCCAGACUUUAAUGUGUCAACCUCUGUGUGACUCUUAAGAGGAAAAGAGUCAACAACAGAUGCAGGGGCAGGGACUGAGACCAUAGAUAGUGAAAGUGACACAGGUUGGCGAUGAAUUUCAUCCAAAACCUGCACGUCAUACAUUACAACAAAAUUAUGUUUAAAAAGUGAUAGUGAAUGAUUGCAUGCAGCUAAAAGCCAUCAAAGAGGCCUCAAAAUGAAUAAUAUACCAAACUCAGACCUAAGUUUUAACCCCAAAACAGGAGAAAAUUACAUAACUACAGGGAUAAUUAACAGCCGCCCCAGGUAAAAAGUGAACAAAACAAAAGGCAAUAACUUAUUUUAUAAAUACCCUCCUCACUCACAUUAUAACCACCAAUGGUUCUUUUUACAAAUCCGAUCUACCAAACAAGAUUCCGGGGGCCACUAGAGGAUUUUAGCUCUAAAAACAAAAGCACAUACAAGACAAGAAUAACAUAACAUGGAACUCAUGGAUCUUAAACCGUUUGAAUUAGUAUAGGUCAAGACCCAAGAAAUUUGAGGACAAUAUGAGAAGACAUAAUCAUGACAAGGAAAGAAAACUAAAACAGAGAAAAUUACCUCAAAUAGAGCUUCAGCAAGCAUGACAAUUCUUGAUAUACUUGCCCGAGUACUAGACUCUUCGGUCAAGAACGAGCCACAUGAGCACAUGCCACGAGGGUGGAUUCCUGUAGGACAGGACGUAUUACGCUGACUAUUGUCAUCAAGGCCAACACGAAGUCUUUCCCAGACCUACAAAGAAGAGUCAUGCCGAUGCAAAUCAAUAAAAGUCAUUGAGAGAACCCCGAAAAAAUAAGAGCUGUUACAAUUCAUAGAUUCUUCGCCCCAUAAAAACAUUUGGAUAAAACAUUUAAUGAAGGAAAUAUUAAAGUACCGUUGAUGAACGACAUGUGAGUAAACAAAUAAAUGAACAUGCAUAUACUGUUGAUACACAUAGGAGCCAAAAAUCUCCCGAAUGAAUGGAACCAAAGAGUCCAAAAAGCCCUAAUUUCAUAUCCAAGUUAAGCCACAUAAUAAACUUUUAAUGUCUAAAAGAUCACCUCGGAUCUAGAAUGCCGUCGUCGUUCAUUUGAGUUGGGAAUUCUAUUGCCCUGGUAACCAGAAUCAGCUCCAAUCCCAUCAUCGAAAAAAUCACCACUCAAACCAAGUAGCCAUCUGUCAUGAAAUCCUAGAUCCUCAGUAUCAUCAGUAGAUAAAAGAAUUGUUGGAGAAUCAAUAAACCUUCUGGAACUGCGUCUUGAAAAUGCAUCCCAGAAUAGUCGUCUGCCAUUCCUUCUGGCCUCACGAUUACUUGCAUCAGCAUUGCUUCUAGACAAAAGGUUGGAAGAAAUACUCAUGACAUCAACAUGAAGUAUACUUCCAUCUUCCUCGCCUUGUUCCCUAUUGGACACAAGGAAUCCUAAACCAGAAGGUAUUGCCUCUCGAAGGGAAUCAUUUCCAAGUGAGUGAAAAGACGAUGGUGUUUCAGAAACACGAGCAGCUUCUGUAUCAGCAUUAGAACUAUGGGCAGCCAUUACUUCAGCCACAUGAUUCUCAACAGACACUUCAGUAGAGCGGGAAUUCCGAAUCCCCUGUGGAGAGGAACUACUUGGACGCAUAACCUCAGGACAGGUCUGAGAUACAUUCUUGUCUGCUGAAUUACCAAUGCCAUUGACUGCAUCCAUAUUAGCGGAACAAUUCACAGAGACUGGGUCUGAAGAUUGUUGUUCUUUAAACGAAGUACUAGCUGUAGUACUAUUAUCCCUACAAGAUUCAUCAUGACUAUAAUCGGCACUUACCUGAUGAGGAGAUACUAGUUCUUUGCUUUUGGACAAGCACUUCCCCUGGUUACUUGUAUGAACACUGCUUAAACCAUCUUCAAAAUAAGUAUUCUGACUGGCUGCAACAGUGCUCUCAGAUGAUGAUCCAAUUUCAAUAAUGGGGCAGGUGAACCGUGCCCCUGUACUGGAGACCAACGAAGUUCCCUCUGUGGAGUUCCGAACUUGAUUAAUAUCCAGAUUACGUUGCUCUGCAUAUUUCACAAGACACUCAGCUGGAUGAUCUUCCAUCUGCAGGAAAAACAACUAAACAAAUCAGUCUCUUUCCAUAAUCUAUAACUACCAAGUACAAAACUAAUUAGAAAUAUAGCUUAUAUCUACUAACUGAAUCAUGAAAUGUUUAAGGAUUCAGGUAGAAAAGGCCAUAUUUAAAUUCGGAACCCUCAAUUAUAUGACCCGAUGAACUAAAUCCCCAACUUUUUUUCAACAAGAGCAUCACAACGAUAAUGGGGACAAUAUUUGCGUUUACAGGUAAAUGAUAAGUCAAAGAAUAACUACGAUAUUACCGAGCACGGGGCCAACCUACUGCAUCAGCUGGCCAAAUCCCAUAUCAUUUUUCUUCGAUUGCAAAUUGAAUUUGAGGAAAAUAAAACCCCAAAACAACUUAUUUUAAAGAAAAAUGCUUAAAAGGCUUUAAAACUUGCACUGGUUUGUUUCAUGAUUAUGAUAGAGGUAUCUAUAUUUUGCACCAGAUGAUGAAAUCCCAAAUCAUCGAAAAACCAAUAAAAAUCGAAUUUUGCAUUCAAAAAGGUCAAAAUGAUGAGAAAUCCAAAAAUGGGUAUUGAAAAUUGAAUUAAAGACAUCAAAUUUAGUGGACGACGAUGAAGAAGAAUAAGAAGAAGGUACCUCGUAAGUAGAACGUGAGGAGGAGCCACCACAGACGAAAGAGGAGAGUAUGGAACGAUUGGUGGUGCGAUUGACUCGGGCCCGUGAUGGGCGGGAGCCCAGUCGACUACUGCUCGAACCCAUUUUAGAGAUUAGAGAGAGAACGCUUGAGAGUUAAGAAGUGGAGGAGGAGGAUGUUGUUGAUGAUAAUUGAAGCACACCAGCUGAGAUAGAGAGAGAGAGAGAGACAGAGACAGAGAGACUCAAGAGGAAGCUUUCUUUCUUUAUUUCAAAUUCAAUUAUUUUGUGGACUUCCGUAUCAUUGCGGUAAAGACUUUUUUUAAUAUUUCUUUUGCCGGAAAAAAGACUUUUAACUAGUAAAUAUGUUCCUCUCCGCGUCAACAUAUUUUAUUGUCUAUGAAGAAUUACACUUACUUAUUUUUUAGUACAAGUAAAUGUGGAAAAAUUGGCUGAAAACCUAACAUGAAAUAUUUGAGUCUGAAAAUAUUAAGGAUCCACCAAACCGGUCAUGGGUUUUUGGGCUGAAGUCAACUUCUUAGUAUGAUUGGGCUCUCGAGCUCGUUGGAAUUGUAUACUUUGCCAAGCUUGAUCCAUCAAGUUUUUGGGCCUUACUCGCCGAGUUUUGGCCCCAAGACAUUUAAAACGAAAAAAAAAAAAGGAAGUUUUAAAGCCGAGUCAUGGCAUGCCAUCAUUGCCAUGUGCUGCGUGCACAAUAAUAAUUGAAGCACAGUACAGCUUGUGAGAGAUGGGGGGUACGUGGUUUGUUUUUGGUCGAAGGGAGGGUUACGUGGUUGGUUGGAACUUGGAAUAUAUAUACGUCCGAAUCUGACAGGGGAGUCUGUGGAUAUAUGACAAUGACAUGAUCAAUUUAUGGCCAUGUAAUUUGUAAUCAGAAAUAAAGUAGAAAAGUAGUUUGGGUUAUGACUGAUCGAUAUGAAAUUGGAAUUGAAUUGUAGGUAGGAAAAGGAUCAUGCAUUAGACUAGUAGCUGAUGAAGAUGAAAGACACGUUUGCCCUCUACAGAAGAAGCACCAUUCUGCCCUAGCUCAGCUUUAGCUUUUUAUAUAAUUUAUAGCCACGAACCUACUUCUACUUGUGUGUGCAUAAAGAAAGAGCAAAAGCACUUUAUUCACUGCUAUAAAAUCCAAAUCCAAUUCUUAAUCUUAAUCCAGCAUUAUAGAGAUCGAGAAAUAUGCCAGACCAUCCACCACCACCGCAGGGGCACGGGCAUGGUCAUCCAGGUCCUCCUCCUGGUCCUCCUGGUCAACCUCCUCCUCCGGCGCAAGGCGGCCAUGGCCCUCCUCCUCCUCAGCCAGGACCCCCUUCAGCUCCCCCUGGCCCUCCUGAACCACACAAGCCACAUCCACAUGAUCCCCAUCAUGAUCAUUGCCACCACCACCACCACCCAUGAAUCUUCAUCUAAUAUGUAUGCAUGCUAGCUAUAUAUAUAGCUUGCUAAGCAGAGGUGUUGUAAUUAUAUAUGUAAUUUCUAGUUUUAACUAGCUUGCUCUCAUCUCAUCUCAUCUCAUCUCAUCUCAUCUCAUCUCAUCUCAUGAUCAUGGAUUGUAAUGACAUUAUCGGCUCUAGCUAGCUAAGAAAUCACUAUCACAGUGUGUUUAUGUACCAAAAAAAGGAUGCUGAUUAUCCAUCUAAAAUAAUAAUGAGAUGACUGAUCUUGUGGGUUUUCCUUUCACUUUUGUUUGGUAAUAACUGACAGUUUUUCCUUUGUUUUACACCAAAAUUCUUUUCCCAAGAAAGAACUUGCAAAGCAGAGCAGACCAAAAAUGCUUAGCAAAGCCAAAAACCCAAACUAACAAGGCAAUCCACAGAGGACAGCAUGAUAAUUAUUCUUCUUUUAUAAUUUGAUAUUUGACUUCAUAAAUGAAUAUAUCUUAAUUAACUACUGCUGCAAGAAAGUGAACAAAAGAAGUGCAUAACAUGGUGGUGUUAAGUGCUCACCCCAGGUUCAUUGAGUUUUUGAAGUACGAAAAAAAAUAUAUAAAAAUAAAAUAAAAUUAUAUAUAUAAGCUAUUGUAAAUAUUAGGCAGAAACUGUUAAUUAAGACAUCUAAUUAUCUCUAAUAAAAUCAAUGAACAUAGUGCUUUAAGAAAAUAUUAAAAUAAUAUUAUUGUUUAAUUGAGUGGUCAAAUGAAAUAUAAAUCCAAAUGAUGUUAUGCAUAGAUGAUCUUUAAAUGAAUACCUAAAAAAUAAACGAUUAAACUAAUUAGGAUAAUUGAAAUACAAUGCAAAAUAUGCCUUACGAAGUGUUUCUCAAAUAAGCCUAUUUAACUGAAAUUCUGUGUAUAUAUAUAUAUAUAUAUAUAGUGCCCCGAAAUUAGAAGAUGUAUGUAUAGUAAUAGUAUAUAUAUCAUCCUAAUUUUUGCGACCUAUAUAGAAAAGUUAAAGAUGAUGUUGGUAUACGCAUAUGAUGUUGUGGUUGUUGGUGUUGUCCUAUCCUAAUUCAGAAGCUUUUCUUUUCUAAAAUAAAAGUGGGGCCGUUGGAGGUCGUUUUCCACUUCAAGUGGGUUUUGCCGACGCCGUUUCCAAUUUCCUUAGACUUGUACUUUUCUCUUUAACAUUAUUACCAAACAAUUUCUUUGUUUUAUCUUGAAAAAGAUGUAAUUAAUAAUAACACAGCAUGGCCCUUUCUUUUCCUUAUGGAGGAAAAAUUACUAGAUUGUUUUAUCUUGAAAAAGAUGUAAUUACUAACAGGAAAAAAAAAACAAAAUUUAUUUUGUCCUCUUUUAAGUAGCUAGAUGGAUAGGAUAGAAUUAUAUAUAAUUAAUAGGAAAGAUCUUUAUUUUUCAUUUUUUAUGUGGCACCUCUUUACGGUGAUGAAAAUCAUCUAGCUAGUGAGGAUGUGGACAUUGCUUUGUGUUUUGUAUUACCGACAAUAAAUAUUGCAUUAUAAAAGCCACUGCUUUCUUCAACAAUUCGCCACAUCAACAUUCAACCGCUCAACAAGUAAGAAUCACACCAAGAGUAAGAGUCUCUCUGCAACUGCAACAACCAAUUCAAGAAGAUGCACCGCCCAGGAGCCGGCCCUCAUGAUCAUGGCCAUGGACCUCCAGGCGGCGGUCCAGGAGGCCAAGGUGGCGGUCCUGGAGGCCAAGGAGGCGGUCCAGGAGGCCAAGGAGGCGGGGGUCCAGGAGGCCAAGGCGGAGGCGGUCCAGGAGGCCAAGGCGGAGGCGGUCCAGGAGGCCAAGGCGGAGGAGGUCCAGGAGGCCAAGGGGGUGGCGGUCCAGGAGGACAUGGCGGAGGAGGUCCAGGAGGACAUGGCGGAGGCGGUCCAGGAGGCCAAGCCGGAGGCGGUCCAGGAGGCCAAGGCGGAGGCGGUCCAGGAGGCCAAGGUGGAGGCGGUCCAGGGGGGCACGGUGGCCGCUGAUAAGUUAACGAUGACGGGCAACAAGACUUGUGGUGUACUAAUAGCUAGUAGUACGCAGUCUAUAUAUGAUGAUAUAAUGAAGUUGAUGAUGAGAGUAAUUAGCUGAUAUAAUGAUAAUGUUGUGUUUGUUAUUAAUUAGUAAUGUUUUUCUAAUCAUGUUGGGUGAGAUCCUUCCCUUCCCCGGCCAUCUCCAGUAGCUCAGUUUCAGCUAACUGGAGAAGAGGAGGGCGGUUUAUGUAAUACUAGUGUAUGAUGCAUGCAUAUAACAAUAAAAUGAAGAUGAUAUAUACGUUGCCCUUCUAUUCGUUUUAGUGCUUUAUAUUUGUGUGUGUGAGAAUGAGUCUUUUGGUUUUUACUUUCACUUUUGUUUGGUGUAACCUACAGUUUUUACUCUGUUUUACACCAAAAUUCUUUUCCCUUGUGUUUUUGUUUUUUAAUACGUCAAGAAAAGAACUUGCAAAGCCAAAAGGCCCGACCUGCACCCAGGACGAUAUUCAAUAUUAAUAUACCACAACUAAUUAACUAUAAACCAAAUUAACAAGGCAAUCCAUAGAGGACAUCAUGAUAAUUAUUCUUAUUUUAACAAACCUUAUAUAAUAGUUAUUUUCGGAAGUCUACAAAGUUAUUAUUGUGCCAAUACUAUUGUAAAUAAAAAAGAAAGUAAUGAAGAAUAUUAAAAAAAUACAUGACAUCCACACAAUAAUAACGUCUAAACGUUCGUAUAUGAGAAUUUCUCUAUAUAUAAUGGCAAGAAAAUGAAAGAUAUAGAUUGUUCUAAUUUGAAAUUUGAUAAAAACAAACAAAAGGCUUCGUGUGAUGCACAUGUAACAUGUUUCAGAUGGACAGUAAAUGUUCUUGUAAUAAUAUUGUCCUCUUUAGUCAUUUUAUAGUAGCUAGAUGGAUAAGAAAGAAAAUAUCUUUUAUAUGUGGCACCUAUUUACGAUGAUUGAAAAGCAUCUAGCUAGCUACCAUGUGGAAGUCGCUUUGUACCGGCAAUAAUAUUGCAUUAUAAAAUCCUACUGCUUUCUUCAACAAUUCGCCACAGCAACAUUCCACAACUCGACAAAGUAAGAAUCAACUCCAAAAUAGUCUCUCCGCAACUGCACUGCAACAACCAAUUGAAGAUGCACCGCCCCGGCCAUCAUGAUCAUGGCCAUGGACCUGGGGGCGGUCCAGGCGGACCAGGCGGCGGUCCGGGAGGACCAGGUGGACCAGGUUCCCAUGGACCUCCAGGCGGCGGUCUAGGAGGACCGGGAGGACCAGGCGGGGGUCCAGGAGGACCGGGAGGAGGUUGGGGAGGACCAGGAGGACCGGGAGGCGGUUGGGGAGGUCCAGGAGGCGGUGGUCCAGGAGGACCGGGCGGCGGUUGGGGAGGUCCAGGAGGCGGUGGUCCAGGAGGACCGGGAGGAGGUUGGGGAGGACCAGGAGGCGGUGGUCCAGGAGGACCUGGCGGCGGUGGUCCAGGAGGACCUGGCGGCGGUGGUCCAGGAGGCCUGGGAGGCGGUGGUCCAGGAGGCCCGGGAGGCGGUGGCCCAGGAGGACCAGGCGGCGGCGGUCCAGGGGGACAUGGUCGCUUCUGAUGGGCAACAAGACUUGUGGUGUACUAGUAGCACGUAGUCUAUAUAUGAUGAUAUAAUUAAGUUGAUGAUGAGCGUAAUUAGCUAAUAAUGAUGAUGUUGUGCUUGUUAUUAAUUUCUAGUUAGAGUUUUGGUAAUCAUGUUGGGUGAGAUCCUUCCAUUCCCCGGCCAUCUCCAGUAGCUCAGUUCAGCUAGCUGGAGAAGAUAAGGGCGGUUCAUGUCAUACUAGUACUACUGUAUGAUGCAUGUAAUAUAUAACAAUAAAAUUAUUAUGAUAUGAUUAUGUUGCCCUUCUAUUCUUUAUAUUUGCGUCAGCGAGACAGUGAGAGAUUGCUCUUUUAUUAUAGACUACCGAUUGAUAUGUUUAUCUUUAUUCUUCAUAGUUAUAUAUAUAUAUAUAUAUAUAUAUAUUAUCUAACAUAUAUAUACAUUUAAACGAACUUUAAAUUUAACUGAAUACACUUUAAUAUUUAAAUUAAAAUAUAAAAUUAAUCAAAAAUAUUUUAUUUAACUAUUAAAAAUAUUCAUGAUAUACCAUAUCACACAACACCAAACUCAUUCGAGAGCUAGCUGCUGCAUUUCUCCUUCACACAAACUUGGUGAUAUAAAGAUAUCAAAGGGGGAUUUGCUGUGAUCGUGAUAGAGAAAUUUUUAUGUUACUCUUUUAAGGUUGCUAAAUUCGUUAGAGAGGAGCAGGGUAUAUUUGGACUGAUAUGAUCAAAGCUUUGCAGUUUCGGCUUAACUAGCCUUUGAUUAAAGGGCCUUCUACAGCUUCUUUUUCAUUUUUCUGAUUUGUAAUAAUUCUGUGAAGGACAUGGUGUAAUUAGCUAACUCUUGAUUGGGUUUGAAUGAGUCGUAGUGAAGCCAAGUUAUAUUGUUUUCUAUUUUGAGUCUGGCUUUUCUGGUCUGGAGGCUUUGAAGUUGAUACUGGUAUUAGGUGACUUGCCGAUGGUUCUUUGAUUCAUCAGUCGAUCAAAUUUUCAGAUGAAGCAAAUUGUUACCAAAGCUUCUUCUAUUACCCAAAAAGCAAAGAAUGGUUUGGAAACUCACACAAUGGUAAUGGUAGGGUGUACUUAGUAACAUUUGUUUCACAAUCAAUAUAUCUUUUAUGGUAAUUUUAUAUUAGAGUAAAUUAGUAAUUUAAUGAAUAGUUUAGUAGUAGAACGUACUCAGUUAAUUUUAAAGUUCGUUUAAUAGUAUCCUUGAUUUAUCGGCUCGUUUAGAUUACAAAUUUUGAAGAAAUUAAGGUAAAAUGGUAUAGCAAAGAAGAUAUAUAUUUGAGGUGAAGAUGAAGAGUGGCAUGAAGAACCAGUUUGUUGUCAAUCAAGAUUCAAAUAGUUGCCAUCAGAACUUCUAUGUGAUACUUUUUAAAAUUAUGAUCACCUAAUGUAGAUUGCAGAGCCAUUGGAGAGAGGACUUGCGGAGGACAUUGACACAAGGUACCUAACAUUCUAUUAGACGAUACACUUCCAACUGAAGUUGACAAAAGCUUGCUGAAUGCUGUGAAGGAUUCGAUUGUUCAAGGGUAUUUGAAAUGAAUUCUUCUUCUUUUGCCGGUUAUUGUUGUUUCAGUUUAUUGCUUACCAUAAUGUUAUGGUGGACAGGUUUCAGUGGGGGAGCUGUACAUAGAUUUUCUGAUUGAUUUCUGAUGCUGUUGUUUCAGACGACUGUUUUUCUGCAAUCUACACUGUUCUAUCUCGCAGGCGUGGGCUUAUAUUGUUACUGUUUUUUGGUAUCCUCCUAAUUCCAUACAAAAAUAACAAACCAGUAACAUUGAGAUUGUUCUUCUCUGUAAUCCAAAGGUGGAUCAUGCUUCUGCUACUGCUGCUGCUGCUUGCUAAUUAUUUUUUCACUUUAAAAUUCAACUGAGAAUGCCACUGCCACGUUGACAUCACACACAGAUGGAUGCUCUUGCUGCUGUAAAUGCCAAUGAGAUCCAUUUCUGCGUUACGCGGCACCUUCCAAAAGUAUAAUUAAACCAAAUAUUCGUCCUCAAUGGGCAAUUAUUUUCAGAUACGACAAACGACCCUAUGGCCAAUUCGCAAAUAUUCCAAAAUACAUAAUGUCGUUUAUUUACUUUUUACGUUUGCACUUGUGGUUCACAUGUGUUUGAAAGUCAAAGCACAACCACUCUUAUCUUCCCCUUUCUUUCCGUCUCUCCAAAAAUUCUCCAGUCUCUCAGCAUCUCACCAGCGAUGGUGAAGACGAGAAAAUGAAAGAGCUUAUCAGAGCUCUGGUGGAAGACUUAGAUAUUGGAUCACACGAAGCCAAUACUGUAGCUUCGUCGUCACCUUCUUCCCCUCUGCUUACGACCCUCCGCCUCAAUCAGAGAUUGAUAGGAAAAGAUCAGGUAAAACAUUAGGGUUUUAUACAUUUUUCCUUCUGUUUUUAUUUUUUGCAGUCGGUGAAUUCUCUGUGCAACUAAAAACUCCAACAUUUUGGAUCCACCAUCUUUCUCCGUAAUUAUAGUUACUGUAUAUCUGAGCAUUCUGUGUAGCUUUUUGUGUGUAGUACUAAUUGCAAAAUAUUGAGUUCAAUAGACAAUGCAAUCCAAAACCUCAAGCCUAGCUCCAGCUCUCAACUAUUUCCCAACCCUCAAACCCCCACACAAAACUCUAGCUUUCCACCAAUUUUCAGUCCUUAUCAUCACCUUCCUUGCCUAUGCUUCGUUUCAUGCCUCUAGAAAGCCCCCAAGCAUUGUCAAGAGCGUGCUUGGACCCACAAUUCAGUCCAAUACCAGCUCAGCCGAUACGGGGUGGGAUCCCUUUAACGGUCCCCAUGGUGCCCACAGGCUAGGAGAGCUUGAUCUUGCAUUUCUUUCUGCGUAUUCGAUUGGAAUGUACUUUGCAGGGCAUGUCGGUGAUCGGAUUGAUUUGAGGUUGUUUCUCGUGUUUGGGAUGAUGUGUAGUGGCAUUUUAACAAUAUUCUUUGGGUUAGGAUAUUGGUUUGGUGUUCAUUUGUUGGGGUACUUUAUGGCUGUUCAAGUACUUUGUGGGUUAGUUCAGUCAAUUGGGUGGCCUUGUGUGGUAGCAGUAGUGGGAAACUGGUUUGAGAAAGAAAAGAGGGGGUUGAUCAUGGGGGUCUGGAGUUCACAUACCUCAGUUGGAAACAUUAUUGGUUCAGUUGUGGCGUCUGGGGUUUUGGAAUUUGGAUGGGGUUGGUCCUUUGUGGUGCCUGGGGUUUUGGUCAUUUUGGUAGGCAUUUUAGUGUUUUUGUUUCUUCCCGUGAGUCCAGAACACUUGGGAUUUGAGUCUUUGGUAAAGGAGAUUCAGAUGAAUGUGGAAGUUAAAGGCAUAGAGAAUUUGGAGGGAAAAGUGGAAUCAGAGGAAGCAGGUCUUCUUGGAACAGAGAAUGCAGAUGUCAAUACAGGUGCAGAUUCUUUGGCUGCAAUUGGCUUUUUGGAGGCAUGGAGGUUACCGGGCGUGGCACCAUUUGCUUUCUGCCUAUUCUUUUCAAAGCUGGUGUCUUACACUUUCUUGUACUGGUUGCCCUUUUACAUAAGGCACACAGGUACUUCCUCCAGUUAGAUUUUUAUAUAUGACUUUGAAAUUGAAUUGUUGGGAUCAUCUUUUGAUAUCCCAUUAUGGUUGAACUGCUUCUUUGGAUUUCAUGUUUGAGUUUUUUUGUUCAAAUACACCAUCAUGGAUUGUCAUGAAAAUGGCCGUCCUCAUCACAAUUCACAAACAAUCCAGAGCAUUUAAAAUUGGACACAUAUUGCAGUUCUAUACUCUUAACUGUAACAGCGCCUAUGUUUGUAUGUGUAUGUCUUUAAAAUCCAAAAUUACCCUAGGAGGAUUAUCUUCUCGUAUUCAUCAUAAAUUUUGUUUCGCCUUGCAGCUGUUGCUGGUGUGCAUUUGUCACACAAAACUGCUGGGAAUCUUUCAGCCAUAUUUGAUAUUGGAGGAGUCUUCGGUGGAAUUUUAGCUGGAUUGAUAUCUGAUAUGAUUGAAGCUCGAGCUGUAACGUCAAUUGCAUUUUUGUUGCUUUCGGUUCCGGCCCUUGUUUUCUACCGGGUAUAUGGAAGCCUAUCUAUGGUUGCCAACAUUCUUUUGAUGUUUCUUUCUGGAUUGCUGGUGAAUGGCCCAUAUUCACUAAUUACCACAGCCGUUGCUGCUGAUCUUGGUACCCAGACAGUGAUCAGAGGAAAUUCCCGUGCAUUAGCUACUGUAACUGCAAUUAUAGAUGGUACAGGUUCUGUUGGGGCGGCUCUUGGCCCACUUUUAGCUGGGUAUAUUUCCACCACAGGGUGGAACAAUGUAUUUCUUAUGCUAAUUUUUGCAAUUUUCUGUGCAACUUUGUUUUUGAUUCGCAUUGCGAGAACGGAGAUCAAAGGAAAUUUGAAUGAGGGAAAAUGGUCUUUAUAUAGCGUAGGCACACAGUGAUUGAGAUUUUCUCAAGGCAUAUCUUUUUUCUUUUUUUUUCUUUUGUCGUUCUUGUCAUACCAGAAAUGUAGAUUUCAUUCAGAGAGGGGCUAUUGGUGGGGUCAUUUGUGUAUGUUUGUAUCUCAUUGUUUUGUAGCUCAUUCAUUGUUCCAGCUUGUUGGGUUUCUUACCUACGUAGAGAUACGGCUAAUUAAUAAUAAAAAUUCUUCGACGGUUUGGUUCUAUGUUUCUCGUCUCUUGCCUUCUUCCAUCUCGAGUCCCAAAUUCUUUUUGCUCAUUGUAUUGAAUCAAAUUGGUCUCAUAUUAGCGACAAUUAAUCAAGAAGCGUGUAAUUAGCUGUUCCAGUAUGUGAAAUUAAAGUUGCACACAGCAGAAGCAGCCCAUGAAGAAACAAAUGUAUGAUGUUUUGAGCAGUCAAAUAAAAAGCAUUUUAUGCGUCGCUGGCUUUUCUGGUUACAUUAUACAUUCAAAAACCAGUAGGAUGAUCAGAAAACUCCACAAAGGUCAACAAAUCCGAUCAUCAAGGGCAAAGGAACGCACGCACAGUUUUAUAACGAAGUGAAGCUUAAACCUUGGACUUUGUAUAACAAUUAUAAGUAUUACAAAACAUGGAAGGAGUUCUGACAAAUAAAUGUACACUACACAUCUGCAUAUACCUUGAAAAACAAAGGUACAAUAACAGAACAGCCUCUCCACAAAAUCAGGCCUGCCUGUCUACCUCAGUUAUACAACACAAAAUAAGAUUUUAACUCCAUUCUCUGCCAAUAGGGUACAAGUGGUUAUUCCAAAGCCUGAUGAUACGAAUGUCUUCUUUAUCCUUCCAUCUUCUCUGGAACAGAUUGGUGCACCGGAUAUAGAAGGAAGCAAAGUGGCAGUCCCUUUCUGGAUGAAUAUAUAUAUACACAAGCCGAACUCCCAUCCAUUUUCUAAGUAUUAUUGCUACCGGUUCGGACCUUUGCCCAUCAAGGGAACAUCAACUCAUAAACAAGUAAUUCUAUUCUUCUAAGAAGAAUUUGAGAUUCUGAAGUCCUUCAGCAGAAAUGCUUCGUCUGACUCUAGACCUCUCUACCACCACAUGUGGAGGAGGCUCCAAGUGGAAACUCACCAUAACCAGUGUCAAAUUAUCGCUUGCUCCACGCUUUAUUGCCUCCUCUACUAUUUCCUUGCAGCACAACUUCACAUCAUUGUGCUCUUGGAGUCUCCUUCGAGCAAAAUCAACAGCAUUUUGGCUGGUGAACAUCUCCCAUAUUCCGUCACUACCAAUGAUCAAAAACUCAUCAUCCUUGGUCAGUGUCAUUAAUUUGAGUUCUGGUUCAGCACUUAAGGGUCCUCCCCUUUCACCCCCACCCUUCAUUCCUUCAAGAUGCCAAUCACCUAAUGCACGGGUGACACCUAACUGACCAUUUAGAUAACCAUCAUCAAUAUAUCCACCCAAGGAUUCAAUCCGCAUUCUUUCUUUUGUGCAGCAGGGCCUAUGAUCUUUUGACAUUUCUACAGCCGCUCCACAUCGUGACAAUACAGCCCGGCAAUCUCCAGCAUUUGCCACAAGCAAAGACCUGUCCAAAAGGGUAAUUAUAAGCUGAAGCAGACUAGUUGUCACACAAAAGGUCUGAUAAAAACAAAGUAAGCAGUCCCAAGAACGGGGCAUGAGAAUAGCCAAAAGUGCAUAGAUGUAAGAUAAUUAAAUCAAAUGGGGAGAUAUAGGGUGCGGUCAUUCUGAGCCAUUAUGAUCAGUUCAGUCUUCAAUCUCACUAAUCCCGAGUUGCGACCAAGAUUGGGUCACACAACAUCAGUUUUCUUUACUAUUUUUAUUUCUUGUUUUGCUCAUGCAACAGACACAAUUCAUUCUUCAGCAUGACACCACACGAAUUAGCUGAUUAGAUUUUCUCUUAUUCUUUAAUCUGAUGGCCUUGCAGUAAUGAUUAUUUAAGACAUUACUGUUGUAAGUCAACACCUUUAUUACAGAUGACAGUCAACCUACACCGGAAGAAAGAGUCCCCUUACCUCCCAAAUAUCAUUGCAGUGAGUGCAGUUGUUCCAGAUGCAUGGGAAGACUCAAGGGAGCACGUUUUUGCAAAUGCAGCGUCUGUCUCCAUAAAUGACCUUGUUAUCACCUUUUCAAGUUCUAAUGGAAAGUCAGCAUCCUCAACAACUACUCUUGGCAAAUUGUCACGAACAAAUUGUGCUGCAUCCUUUCCUCCAUGGCCAUCAAAUACCUGUUUUUUAUUUUUUAAAUUGCCAUUUACAUCAUCAAAAUCUGAUAAAAUAAAGAGUCUGGAUUGUUAUGCAUGAGCUUUCAUUAAACUGUUGCAAGUACCCUUAAAGUUGUAAAAUUUUGAUUGAACUAUUUAGAAAUUGUCCAAAAAGCCUUUCUUCAUAUUAUUGUUCUCAUUGUAACCAAACCUUGAGAAGUGUUGGGGAUGGUUUGAAUUGUUAUACAAUGGAAGAAGGUGAGAAAACUUACACCAUAGAAGGAGAUAGCUCCCUCACUGAGUACAUUAUAAUCAAACUUUUUAGCUAAGUCACCAAUGCAUAUAUGAGUAUCCUCCAUAUGGGUUCGACCCCCAAUGUCAGACCACUCUCCUGACCGAAGGGAAGGGAACAAGUUCAGCAGGCUCUGUUUUCUGUCUACAACCACUGUAUCCUCACAUAUGCUUUCGAGCUAAAAGACCAACAACAUGAUGGAACUUGAAUCAGAAUGUGACGGAUUGCAAGUUAACAGGUCAAGGAAACAGAUUUCGGAAACACAAGAAAGUAAAUUAGGAAAUUUUUUUCCAAGUAUAAUAUCAACACUCUCCUUGGAAAAAAUGUUCUCAAACCAGAAAAUGAAACUCAAAUCAAUCACAAAAGUUUACAUUGCAUCGAAACAUCAACAUCAUCGGGUUUCCCACAAAAUUGUGGGAUAUUGAAAAACUGUAUAAUGUUGUGAAAUAUCAAAAUCUGUCAACGCAUAAAGAGUAACAUAAAAUGUAAUACAAGACAAGGAACUCAAGGAGCAGAUAAUAAAAGAAGAGAUCCACUACAACACAAUCCAAUAAAAAAAAAACCCUUGAAAAGCAAGAACGUUAGUCAUCACCAUCCGGCUGUGCAGAGCACGAUAAGGAAGUAAAUAAUUUUUGUAAAUGAAUCACCUUCCGACAAGUGAAAGCAAAACAAAGAAUUGCAGCUUAGCUUACUAAAUAGGAAAAACAAUUUCCAAAACAACUGUUUCCCAAAAUGAACUGAAAAUUAGCAGAGCAUGAUUAAGAAAAUAGGAAUUCAAGCAGAAAACUUUCGUGCAUGAUGCAGUAUAAACUAAUGACAACAGUAAAAUUUUGUAGUCUAAGUAAAAUUAUUGAAUAGUGCAAAGAUACAAAAAUGAAAUUGUAAUCACGACAGGCCAAAUGAUUGAAAAAAACAUAAAGAGCAACAACCGGACCACGACCAACUACACACAAAUCCAAUUACAGAAAGAAAAAAAAAUCACAAAGAAAGACCGGCAAAAGAAAGUUUUGUCAAUCAUCAUCACAUAAGAAAACAAAGACCCAGAACUCAAUUUCAACCGAAUGAUCCUAAAAAGUUACAAAAUUGAGACAACCCCAAUAAAGCUAAGCAGUCAAAGAAGAAGAAUUUUUACUUGAAAUGAGUUUAACAUGGUUUUCUGAAGACUGGAGCUGAUGAAAGGAGUUUCCUUGUCCAAAUUGUCCGUCUGGUUGUGCAAGAUUUCACAUUGCAAAGGCCAGUGCUUGUUAUUGUUGUUGGUAUUGAUGUUAUUAUUCUCCAUAUUCCCCAUUUCUUGACCAAGCUGUUCUGCGUCUAUCAAGCACAUGCUUAUGAUGAAAAUGAUAAUGGGUGUGCUCUUCUUAGUGCUCAGUUUCUUAGCGAGUUGCUGAGGGAAUCGGAAAGUAGUAGAAGAUGCAGAGAAAAAGAAAGAUAAAUUUGUGGUGAGAAGAUUCUGAAAAUAUUUGAGUGGAAUGAGGGCCUCUGUUUAUUGUAGUAGUAUUCAGAGAGAGGGAGAGAGAGAGAGAGAGAGAGCGAGAGAAUGAGAAUUCCAGAUUUUUCUGUGAAAGCGUGGCUGAAAAUCGGCUUGUUUGCUGGGUUCUUUGAUAUUAUUCUAUCUUUUCCUCAUUUUCAAUAUUGAAAUGCAGACCCAAAAAACAAAAAACAAAAAAUCCAAGUGCUUUCAUUUGCUAAAUAAAAAACUGUAAUUCAAUAUUCAGAUUAUUUUUGGCAAUUCAAAAAAUGUAUUAAUUUGACUAAAAUGAGAGGAAUGAAUGAUUAAUGAAUAUGACAUCUAAAGGAAACAAAAAGGUGUCCCAUUUGAUAACGUAUUUCUUAACCACUAAUAUAAUUCAUGAAUGUGGUCUUUAAGUCUUAACCACCAGUAAAAUCCGUGGCUUCAUAAACCCUUUUUGACAAGAUAUUAUUGGAUUGGAUGCGUUGCGCAUAUCCGAUCCACCAUCAUAUGCCUUUCUUUUUCUCUUCUUUUUUUCGAUGGACACAUCUGCCUUUCUUUUUGGUCAUAAUAAGCACAUCUGCCUUUCGUUUCACAUUCAUUCACAAUCACAACAGUGGAAUUUAUUUUUUAAGUGCACUAAUAUUAUAUUGGCAUGCUUAUUUAAGAAGUAAAAUAAUUCAAGAAAGGUUUUGCUUGCCAGAAUUAAUAAUUAAAAAAAAAUCUGAAGAUAGGGUUUGGAUAGUUUUCCAAGAUAUAUGCUAGGUUUUGUUAUAAAUAAAGCACAAGACAAACGAGUAGGAGUGGGUAGGUUUGAGACAUUAUCUGCAAAACCAUAAUUUGUCUCAAGCCUAAUUAAUAAGUUAAAAGACAAGUUAUAUUAGGAAGUUUGUUUUUGUUUAAAUGGGGCAAAUAAUUCCUCCAAAAAGUUUGAAAGUGAAUUAAAUGGGAAAAUGAUGAUGCAUGUAAGGAGGAGCUGAUAUUAUUAUGUUUUGCUUGCCCUUUGCCUCUUUCAACUUUCAACGGAGGUCUACUAUACCAUCCACUUCUCUGCAACUUGCCCACUAACACCAUCUUUUUUACAUUUUAAACUCAAUUAUUUUCACAACUCACUGCACUAGACUUGUAAUUUUCCCGUCAAUUAAUUAUUAUUAUUAUUAUUAUUGGUCUCCAAUUUAUUAUUAUUAUUAUUGGUCACAUUGGAGAGGAAAGAAAUCCUUGAAAUUUCGAAUCUGAAUGCCAUGGAGGAAGGGAGAAUCCACUGCCACUUUGGUAGGAACCAUUGGCAAUUAUUUUCAGUUUGCCUAAAAAAGCUUCAUUAUUUGAAAAAAUGGGGUUAGGUUUCCAUGCUUUAUUAUUAUUAUUGGUGUCAUACUCAAGCACUUUUUCCAUGAGAAAGUCAAUCAAGCAAAGCCAAAGAAAGGAGGAGCUCUUCUUCUUCUUCAGGACACUUUCUUUAUACUUUAAAAAAGGAAUCUUCCUAGUAGGCUGCUUGCUUACUCAACACCAAGUGAGACCAAUACGUGGCCUGGUGUCAGUGGGUGCAUCCUGACGUGGCACAACCUUGUCCACCGGAUAUUAUUAGUGCAGCUUGCGGUGGUGUUGCCCAUCCUGCAAAGCUAUUAACUUGGGUUGAGAGAUAUGGGCCUUAUUAUUUCUUGGGUUGGGUUAGUGUGGUAUCUGGGUUGGCUUUAUCGUAAACAAGAAUUUCAUACCCACUUUGCUGCCCAUACCAUUUUAUUUUUGGGCUUCCACAAAGACAACUUGGUAUGCACUCAACUCGCACCAUUAACAAAACAAAAUUAGCCAUCGUUUCAGUAGCCGGGGUGGUGCAGUACUAGCACGCACACGGCAGACCUGGUGGUUGUGGUAACAGCUGCAACUACAAUGACAUAAUUGCAAUGUUCAUCGGACUCCACGACAGAACAUAUGCAAUAAGAACUUGUGCCCAAGCAUGUCCAUCCAAAAAAUAACUCAUAACAUUAGCAUUUUCUAGCAAGGUGCAGUAGUCAUUUCAACUCAAAGGACACUAUUGAUGAUGCAAAUUAUUAGGAUCUGGAUUGGGAAACAAACAAUUGAAAUAUGCCUAUUUUGAUACCAUGGGGAUCUUCAAAACCACAAAAUUUAACCAUUACAUCAAAAAUCGAUGGGGAGAAGAAGGUGGGUGAGAACAGGGGGAAGCUACUAUAUCUCCUCAAGUCUAUAACAUAAUCAGCUUGCCAAAACCAAAAAUGCCUUCAGCACCAGCCUACCACAAAAAUCAGAUACCAAAUCAAAUUCCAGUGAAAGCCUUCUUGCCAGCACCAGAAGAUCCAGCAGGGGUCACCUUCAAGACAUUGAACCUCUUAGUCUUGGACAAUGGCCUGAACAAUCGGAAAACAAAAUCAACAAACAAACAGAAAUGAGAGUGUUGCCCACAGGCCAAAGUAUAUUCAUAAGGAGGCAGUGAAGAGAAGAAGAGCUUGUAAGGCAUAUGACCUGCACUGUCCGAUGGUAACAUGAUCCCCUUCUUUCACACGGAAGCACGGAGACACAUGCGCAGGUAUGUUCGAGUGUCUCUUCUCAUACCUUAAGCAAGCAACCAAAAAGAAAAAGAUUUCAGAACAACAAAAAACAUGAUGCCCUUUUUUUCCCCAAAAUGACAGCAGAAAUUAUAUAGAAAGACAACACAUGAAUACAAGAAUCAUGCCUUUGAUAUUUCUUGAUGUAAUGUAGAUAAUUCCGUCGAAUGAUGAUUGUUUUGUUCAUCUUAGCACUGUGGCAAGUGCCAGCCAAGAUACGGCCCCUGAUAGAAACAUUUCCAGUGAAUGGGCAUUUCUUAUCAAUAUAAGUCCCUGUAAGAAACAAAAAUAAAAUGUAGAGCAUUCGUAUCAGCAAAUACCAUAACAUGUAGAAUAUUACGGCCAAAAAGAGACAAUUGGAGUAGGCUCAAUUUGAAGUAAGAAAUAUAACCCAAACUUCAGAGAUCAGAAAAAAUAAGCAAUGAAUUUCUCUAAUAGAAGUCAUCCACACAAAACUGUCUCUAAGUUUACAUAAUUUUCUAAUCAAAAGGUAGUUAUAUACGCUCAUGAAAGUACAUAUCUUAAAGAAUGCAAAUCAAACUUAAAAACGGCAAUGCAGCAAUACUCAAAGGCCACUUCCCAAUUAACCCACAAAUUGAAGGCCUAUCACUAUCCACAUGCAUAUGCAAAAUUACAAAUCAAUCAGUCAAACUAAAACCCUAGUUCAUUUUCAUCACAUUGCAUAGCUUGAACGGUCCACUACCCAUAUAUAAACAAAUAUAAGAUAAAUAAGUAGAGAGAGAGAGAGAGACCUUCAAUGGCUUCCCUGGGGGUCUUGAAACCAAGCCCAACGCUCUUCCAGAAACGGUUUCCACCCUUUCCAGGUCUCUUCCCCUUCCCAGACUUCUUCGAGCUAAUUUAUUACAACACAAAUAGAAAAAUGAAUAACAUAAAACCCAAAAGUAACAGCAUGAUAGUGCAGAAAAAUUAAACACAAUCAAAACUUCAUGGAAGAUAAAUAUAUUUUUUAAAACGAAGUUUCUUCGACUAGCUACCUGAUGAACACCUUGGGCUGCUUCAGAAACGCCUUCUCAGUCUGAAACCAAAUGUAUUAUAAAAUAAAAAUAAAAAUAAAAAUGAAAGCACUGUUAAAAUGAACCAAAGACCAAAGUUCUAGGAUAGAAUAAAAAGCAGCAAGAUGGAGACAGAGAUAGAGAUAGAGAUAGAGAACCGACCUGUUCGGCCAUGAUUGAUUGAUAGCUCUCAAGGAGUUGAGGGGUGGUCUUUCAGAGGAGGCGAAUUAACGUUCGGUGCAACAAAACAAACGCUAACCCUAGUUUGCGUGCGCCACAUGCGUCUUGUUGAAAUAACCUCUAUAACUUAUAAGGGCGCCGUUCGGGUGAGUUUGGCCCAAUAUGGGCGGCCCUUUAUUUGGGCCAAUUUGGGCCGGAUUUCAUAUGAGCCUCCAACUACAUAGGGCCUUGGUUUUCUGUCUUCUUCCUCAAUAAUUCCCAAAAGGCUUUUUAUUGUUUUUCUUUCAGUUUUUGGUGUAAUUAGAAGGCUACCUAAACCCACACCACACAUGCUUUUUGGUGUAGUUUUUUCAUUAAUCACCUUGAUACGACGCCUAAUGAUUAACAUUUGUAAAAGUUGAUAUGUUUAAAGCUUUCUUUACACUCAUCUAAACGAAGUUUAUUCAUUACCAAUUUAUCAUACUUUCAUGCGUCAAUGAGUUAAAUUGGAAAAUCCACACACUUGGUAGAAAUAGGAAGGCAUCUGCCUUUCGUGGAGAACUCUCUCCUCAGCUUUGAUAGACCUUUGACCUUUUCAUUUCAUGAAAUAUUGUUUAAAGCUUCUCUUCUGUACAUAUAUGGAAAAUAUCCAGUGACGCAAAACAAUUAUAAAGUACAUUUCAAUGCUGCUAAGAUCGAUCGAUCACAUGUUGCAUGUGAAAUUCAGGCUUUAUGUAAUUCAAGGAAUGUAAUAAACACUAAUAUUAUAGGGAUCAUCAAAACUAUGUCUCAACAGGAACUCGAGAAAUUUUACAGAGUCUCGCUUUAAGGUGAAAAACAAAGAUUGAUACUUCAACGACUAUACUCAAGAAAACUCUUCACUUUUGCCAGACCAUGGAUACCAAUGCCGGUGCUCAAACCCUCUAAUCAUAACUCACUCCAUCUGCAUUGAAAAAAGCCAUACUACUUAUAAACAUCAGUAAAAACAAACAACAAAGAUAAAGGGUACAAGAAAGAAAAGAAAAUGGAUUAAGACUUUCAUCAUCACCACCUUUUGACGUUUUGAACUAGGAGGAUUUGGUUCGCAAUCACUCCGCUGACGGGAUGUCCCAACAUUGGAGUUCUCAGCCUGCAAAAAACACAUACUUCUCUUCAUGUUCUUUAUCAAUUAAUUAAACUUUCAUUUCAGAGUAACAUCAAGAUUUACAACUUUAGGCGUAGCAGCCCAUGCUUUGUUUGGCCAUUACGAAGAAAGAGUGCUUUGACCCAAAAAAAGAAGAAGAAAGAGAGCACUGACUUAAUAAAACUAGAAAUCCAAAACCUGUUAAAACAUGAGGCGUGAAAUGCCAUGACAAUGACAACAGGUGUAGCAUGCAUACCCUGGUGGAAGAAUCUUGGGCCAUUCUGUGCUCAGAAGAAUUUGCCACUGCUGUAGGUACAAGACCUGGCUCUCCCCCUGAUGCUUGAGAUAUGAAUGGCAUGAUUUGAUGAAGCAAAUUAGACAAAAAUAGUCCUUCAUCGGUAACCCUCGGUUCGGCUUCUUGUGCACCCACAACACCACUCGAUGUCCUUGCCUGAUCUGAUACAGAACCUGUAGUCAAUCCCUCUGCACUGCCAUCUUCUACGUGAAUUUCACCACCAGGAAAGAGGUUCCUUAUAAACUGUAAAAUGCCGCUUGGGAUCUGUCUCUCAGAUUCUUGGUUGUUUUGGGUUCCUCCAGCUGAUAAAAUGUUGACACUGACACUCCGUGCAAUAGAUGGCUCCUGCCUUAAAUUGGGAGUUGAUCCUGCGGGAAACAGGCACUAAUGAAUUAUUCAACUUAUGAUAGCAACUUGACCGCCCUGGUUAACUACAUUAGAAGAGAUAAACAAACUCAAAUCCAGUGUUUGGAUGAGCUACCGCCUAAUUCAACUCUUGUGAGUAAGACCUCAGAUGAGCUACACAUUAUUAUUUGUUAAAAGCAACCUUUUCUAUAGCUACUUCACAAGUCACAUAUGAUAACAAAUUAAGACACGCAGUUUCUAAAACAAAAAAAAAAAAUAUCUAAGGAACUUUUGUUUCUUCUUUCAGCACAUAUUAGUAAAGCAAAUGAAUAAAAAUUAAAUUCAAUGACUCGAUGCACAUCAUGACUUUUGGUUGGACAAACAAUAAAAUGUAAUCUUACUUUUAGACGUAACAUGUGAAAGAAUAAACCCUACAAAUAUGAUUGUAUGGUCUAUGUGGCAACUUACCUUAGCUGUACUUCAUAUACUAGUUUAGCAUAUUAAUAUCAACUAUUCUUAUUAUAUUCUUUUUUUCUCUCUCUCUUUUGAUCUCCCUUUCCUUCCUUCUCUUCUUACAAGAAGAUUAUAAACUAGGGUCUUCCCAUCAUCCACCCAACCCCAAUGCCACCCAAACCAAGGACUCACCCUCUUCACUCCAAUGGCUUAAAACAAUUUCAGCCUUCCAUUCUUGUGAAAUUUAUGUACUAAAAGUAUGAUUCAACUACUAUGUUGCAUGGUAUAUUCACUGGCGGAGCUAGAAAACAAAUUCUCUUCCCCUGGAACCGCCAGAAUGUAAUAUUACCCUCUCUUGCAGGACCUCCAACGUUUUGCUGUUCUACUGCAGAUUCCGAAGAUUGCUGAUCAGCAUGGAGACCGGCAGGAGGCCGAUCUCCAGAAGCUAGAGUUCCUCGUUCACCACUCACCUGUCCAGAAGCUACAUGUUGAAGCCUUCCAAGUAAUGGAUAGUAUAACCCUAUCGAAUUACCAGAAGAAUCAGAUGGUAGGCGACUGAGAGGUGCAGGUACUGCUGCAACCAUGGUCCUAAGUGGCACUAUCCGUACAGUUGAAUCUCCAGCAAAAGCUGGACCAUCUGAGACCCUUGAAAUAGCUUGAUUAGUAGGAUUUUCACCACCAGAGCUUGCUGGGUUUCUUUGCCCUGAAGGCUGCUGAGUAUCCCCAUGUUCCUCCCUAGUGACAUUGGGUGUUGUUGCUGAUGAACCUUAUGGGUAAAAUGAAUAGAGCUUAAAAUCAACAUAUAUUUUACAUCAAACAAAAUUAAACAGAACAUGAAUGGAAAUAGCCAGGGAAUAAAUUAUAAAAGGUACCUCUUCGUAUUUGUAUAUCAAUACGCCUUGGAACAAAACCAGUACCAAGUCCAUUAACAAGACCAGAACCAGGCUGCACAGCUCCCAUGGGGAUGGCACCAAAGCUCAUUCCUGAUUGAAAAGGAAGCGGCUGGCCAAGUAUGAUUCAGCUUCAAUCAGUACAAAUAGAACUAUUUUCAAAAGAGAGGUAUGAAUUAAGUGUUUAGAAAAUUGCCUGAACCAUUAUCGGAUUAGGGCCAGUCGGGGAUAUGAAAACUGCAGGUCCAGCAUUAACCACAGCGUCAGACUGCAUGAGAGAUGAGUCAGAGUCUGAGCAAGUUUUAUAGGUCAGCAACAUCUAAAUGGACAAGAUGACAAAACAAGGAAAUUAGAAUUCCAGAACACUACCGGUGUUUGACCUAGUUGCAAUGUCAUGGUUGUACGACCAAGUUCAAGUAAAAAGGCGCCAAGGUUGUGAAACAGAGCUCCAGUUCUUGACGCACUAGAUUGGGCACUGAACCUUGCUGAUGGAUCAGUCACAUUCACUUGAUUCUCCAGUUGGCUUGCAAAUUGCUGCCAAGAUGUAACAUGAAAAAUCGCAAUGUCUUUUGUUUAACAUGAUAAAUCAAACAGCUGAAAGCUUUUAGCUAUUAUAGGAUCACAGUAACUACACUCUUCUGCUUUCAAACAAUAAAAUUAGUCACUUAUGAGAACUAAAGAAAAAUCAAACUAAUAGCACAAGUUGUCAAAAUUGGAACACCAAAUUAUAUACUUGAAAUAAUAUAGUGAAAAAUUACAAUAACACUUAAGAACGCACAAGUAGGGAUUCUCCAACUUGUUCAAGGAGUAGUAGUCGAGUAGAACGCAUGACUUCUGCCAACGAUGCAGGUGAGGGGAGCCCCUCUUGCCUUGCCCCUGUAUGUGAUGAGGCAUUGGAACUUUCUUCAGUCCUAAGAGUAGCAGCUGUUUGACCCCUUCCCCCAUCUCUGGCUGUUGGUAAAUGAGUGUUGAAAUUAUCUCAGCAAACCAUCAACAUUGGUGUGUAACAAACAUAUAUGACAUAUCAAUAAAAAAUCUUGUACGUAGAAACUCACCAAUGGCCUCAAAUUCACGCCUCAGAUGACUGAGAUAUUGGGAUAAAGUAGUCAAUGAAUCAGGAAUUACCUACAAAGACCACCGACAUAGCAGAAUAGUUUCAUUAUUGUUUUGUCAUUAAGUUAAAGAUCAAAAUAGGCAACAGAAUAAAAACAAAUGAAACGAAUUGAAAACAUUAAACUUGCCAGGGGUGGUAGAGUCCCCAAAGAAAAAUCUGUUGGAUGACCAAAAGUCCCAUUUGAUCUAUCAGAGGGGCCCCUUGGGCCAGCUUGCUCAGAUUGAAAUUGGGAAAAAUCAAACAUACCACUCAAACCUGGUGUCCUUUCUGGCCUCUGUGGCCCAUGUUCCUUCAGCAUAUCAACCAUCCAAAUACCAGAUUAAUGAUGUAAGCAUAAAAGUGCACAUUAAAUUUAAACAACAAAUGAUAUACAUAUGCAGGUACACACAAACACAGUAUCUAUCAAUUUUGUCAGAACGUCAUUAUGAUCUUUUUUUCUUGGCAGCCUCCAAGAAACUACCCUUUUCUUUUCCUCAAGCAAAGCCAUGGUCAAGUAUUUUCAUUACUGUGAAUACUUUGUACUAAUUUGGAAGUGUGUACGUGUAUGUGCUUUUGCAGAGAGAGAACAUUGCCUAGGAAAGUUAAAUAUAUAAACCCAUACUUCCAGUCAUACAAGUGAUAAGCUUCUGAAAUUUUGAAAUUUUAAUUUACCCUGACUUCAAUCCCUUCACUGCCACCUGAAAUAUUUGGUAAUCCUAUAGAGCCGAGAAUGGCAGAGAUGAUCUGUUCAGAAGCAGAGAUAAAGGAGGAAAUCAUUACCAUCGGACGUAAUUACACCAGUAGAAAUACAAAUUAUUCUGUACUCACCCGACUGAUUUCUGGUGGAAAACCAUCCCCUUGAACAGGCAUGCUGAAAGUUUCAAUAACCACACCAGGGGCAACUUGAUGCUGACCACGGCUUGUACUUGAAGCCGGAUCAGUUCCUACACACAGUUGAAAGCAUGCAAAUAAUGCACGUGAGAUUUAAUAGUUGAACCAAAGAUCUACAAGAGAAACAAGCUCUGCUACCAUGUUGGAUAACCAAUUUUUCCAAACAACCCAGACUACUGUGUCCAAAGCUUAAAACAUGUUAACGACACGCAACAUGUAAAAUUGAAGAGUACUCUGUAUUUAUUGAUUUCACAUCAACCUGGAUGAUUUGGUAAUCCCUCGGGUGAUGGUAGGAUAGGUUGCCUGACAACCAAAUGUAAGGUGUGACCAUCUUCAACAUCUAAACUGUGCUAAGAAAAUACUUUCAAAUGCUUAACAUGAAAAGUUGGUGAGUGAAACUUCAUUUAAAAGAAAAAUGGAACAUGAUGUUGACUAGAGGAACCAAUAAUAAACCCCGAUCUCACACAAUAUUCAUAGCUGCAUUUGUUCAUAUAAUGCCUAAUUUUUUUCGAACUUAAUCUAGAAAAAGAGCUGGCAAGUAUUAAACCUUUGCUAUUGAUAGAGGAAAUCUCUUAGCAAGAGUAUGUGACAUUUGUUCAAUGUAUUCUUUUUUACUUUUCGUAAAAAGGAGACCAAAGGAGGAGAGGGAGGUUAGAACUUUGGCUCUGGGCAUGAGGGUAAGGUCAUUACCACAGGAGUCAUAAGCCCCCACCCAUUUGUUCAAUGGAUUUUUCACAACAUUACCCGAAACAUAGCUAGUAUUAAAUCUUUAGUUAGCAUAUCAAAGUUGUCUUAAUCUAUCUUUCACAGUAAUGGUUGACAUUAUUAUUAUUUCAUAUUUUGCAUAGGAGAUUUUGAGUAACUUUAUCUAUGUUCACUUCUAACUGAAUUAUCUUCUGUUGCAUAUCUUGCUGCAGAGGCAAAUCUGAUUAUGAUUGAAAAUUAUACACAUACGAACACGACUACUAUUAACACUAUUGCAAGUUCCAGUUUAGAACGCAGAAGAACAGAAAAUCCUAAUUAACCUAGAGAGUGCCACAAGAUUUUCAAAACUCAAAAAUUCUUUCACGAGUCAAAAGACCAAAUAGGAUACGAUAGGCAGAGAGAAGCUGAUCAUCCUUUAGAACUUUUCCUCGGCAUAUUAGUCGUUGUUGCUCGGAUAGUACACCAGUGACAGAGGCAAUCUGCUCUUUCAAGGCGGGAACUGGCAUCUGCAGUUGAGAGAAGAGAAUUUGGUUCAUUUUAAAACGAGUAUGCAAAACUUCCACAAAAAACCUUUCUACCAGCAUGUUCUCACUGGCAAUAUUGCUUCACAAAUAAGUUUCAAUAAUUAUCUUUAAAACUAGCAUAUACACAAGUAAUUUCAAAUUAUCGCACAUAUUAACAGUUUUAACUUAAGGAAGCAAUCUCAAGCUGCUGGGCACACAUUAUACGGAUGCAACAGAAAUGCACAUGCAUUACAGCAGUGAAGAUUGUACAGGAGGAAUAUAACUGUUGCUCACCUGAGCAAAAGCAAGGCAACAGAAUUAUUAAGCAAUAAACUUACUAAAUAACUUUAUAUAAAUGGCCAACCAAAUAACUGAAAGCCAGAUCUUAGUGGGAGCUAUAAUAAAAAAGCCACAAGAGUACCAACCUGUUUAUCCACCCUGAGAGUAUAGGUUUGUGAAUCCAAUGUUUUUAUUUUUAUCUCAACAGUAGUUUCAGACCCUUCAAUUUGCUCGCACAUGGGAAUGUGUUCAGCACUAUUACUUCCCAUUCUUCUCAGACCACACUGAACCUACGAAGGAGCGAUAUUAUAAAUAAAAAAUAUUGUCUUCUUUUCCUUGAGCAUUCAAUCAGCUAAUUUAAUUCAUUGGCAGCAAUAAUAGACAAAUACGAAAAAACAAAAUGAGAAAGAAAAAAGAAAACAAUUAAUUUUAUAAGGCAUACCCAGCUUUACUCUAACAACUUGCUCACAAUUGUGGUAAACACACGGGAAGAAAUUCUUAGUUAAUUCCCAAACCAUAAAACCAAGAAUGUCCAAUGAAAAAUUGGCAUAUCCAGUCUAACAUAUUUGAAAUGUGUUUGAUUUUCCAAAACCCAAGUCAAUUAACCCUUUCUCUCUAUUCUGAGUUAACAGCAUUAAACAAAAUAUGAAGUCUGACGCGUGCAAGGCAAAACAUACAACUAACUGUUAUGACAUGCAUUGCAGUUAAAAUGCCCCAAAUGAAAGAAACCAUACGCAAAAAGAGAUUUUGAGCACAAAACCUACACAACUGAUGCACAAACAAACACCGUAUCCGAACUAUAAGGAAAGCAACAGCACUUAUAUCACAGUUUCCUUCUCUACUUUUUCAUUGACAGCAUCUAUGACCCGUUUGGACUUUGAUCCAUUACCACACUAGUCAGCAUACAUAUCAAACUAUGUUCUUUCUCAGCCACAAUGAGUUUUGGUCUUGAUGUGAACAACUCAAUUCACAACAUUAUUUUUUUCGUUUGGAAUUUGCUUUCAUCGCAUGCAAUCUCUCAAAACCUCAGUAAAGUGAACACCUUUAUUCAUGACUCGAAGAUAUGAAUGGAAAAGCAUUUUGUAAGAAAAUAACAGCCUAUAUACCAACAAUCUUAGGAUUUUCCGAAUCAAGAACAAACGGAAAGAAAAUAUCCGCGUACUUUCAAUAUCUAAAAACUCCAGAAGGGCAAAAUUCAUACACGGACAAACCAACCCAAUAAUCACCAAACUCAGAAGCACGAAAAAUUCGAUUGACCCAUCAAAAUAAAAACGAAAACCCCCAAUACACACGACAUGAUCAUACUUACCUAAGCCAAGAGAUCAACUAGAUGAAGCUUCCAGAAGAUGGAGAAGCUUAAUAAUAGCCCAAAAGCGGGACACAAAAGCCCUCGGAGAGAGAGAGGGGGGUUUAUAUGAAAAUGGUCUCCGCCACUGAAAUUGGCUGGGUCGCCCGCUCUGUCACUGUGUGGCAAACGAUGGAUGAGCACCUCGGAGGGGCAGGAGGGAAGUACAAUGCCUAAAUUGGGGAGUGGUGGUGGUCGGGUGGCAAUCGACCUGUAAAUAUUAGUAUUACCCCUGGAUUUUCACCGUUGGGAUUUGGGUUUUUUGACUGCUUGCUUCUUCGCAGUGAAUACUGAAGGGGAAAAUAAAAAUUAGAGCACGUGUGCUUUUUUAUAGUCUGACUCUGACUCUGAGCAGUUGAUGAACAUCAUCGGCCUUUCACUUUUUUUUUUAUUUUUUUCCAAAGAUGAUGUCGUGGUUUUUUUUUUUGGGGUCAAAACGUGAAAGCUGAGGUGGUUGGAUGACGACAGGAGUGAAAUGUCAAAUUGUUUGAGGAUGUUUUUGGCUAUCAACAACUGGGUUCAUUUUUGUACACUUUUUCUUUCUUCCCAAGCAAUGAAAAAACCUUAUUCCAAUCAAAUAGUUAAUUCGUUUGGUAUAUAUUUAAUUAUUUUAUCAUAUGGUAUAUUUUUCUUUAUUUUUUUGGUCAAAUAUUGUAUCUAUUUAAUUGAGCACCACAUUAAUCGAUGAGAAGAUUUUAACCUCUCGCAUUUCCCAAACGAUUUCAUCAAAUAGAAUAUGGGAUAUAUUUCAUAGUAAUUGAUUUUAAUUGCCAAUAAAGGAAUUACAUAUAAGGAAUAUGUAAAAUGUAUUAUAUAUUCAAAGAUAUUUUUCUUUAUUUGCUUAUUUUGUAGAUGUCAUAUAAUAUCUUUACUUGCUUGGAACAUAAGAAGUCGUGAAUCGGAGAAGUGAUUCAUAGUUACGAUAUUUUCAAGAAAGUAAAAAGGGCUUGAGAAAGAAAGUUGGAACUCACUAUUCAUACACAAACCAAACAUUGGAAGUUGUCUUCUAUUUUUGUUACCCCCAAAGUGAAACCCUUUGAAAAUCUGAAUUUAGCAUUUCUUUAUUAAUCUAAAACUUAAUUAUAUGUACAAUAUUCUAAUAGUCUGUGUGGGUCUAACCUAGAUUAUCAUUUGGUUUACACAAUCAUUUGCCAAUAAAAAAAGAUAAACUGGAUGGAAACGUAUUAUUGAAGUUGUGUUUUUAUUGACGUAUACUUUAGGUAGUAUGUUUUGGUUCCUCUUGGAUGGGCUUGAAGAAAUAAAGAGAGAAUUGUGUGAUGAGGCCCAUCUAGUGUAUGGUAGUGGGAAGCCCGUCGGUGGAACUCAACUGAUCCAUGGCAUACGAUACGAGAACUUGGAAAAUGAGCAGCCAGCAGCCAGCAGCAACAACAGCAACCCUUCUUUUCAGGCUUCACCACACCAGUUUGGGUCUCACUCACUCAGACCGUCCAUCUUCAUCAUCAUCAGCAUUUCUUCUGGCUUCAGGCUUCAUCAACAAAACCUAUAAACGGAAACCGUUGGAAAUGGAGGACCAAUGCCAGUCUGCCACUGACUGGUGGUAAUGGUAUGGCUUUUCUCUUUGCCAAUUUUAUUCAUUAAUAUGUGCAGUGCAGUGAACCAAACUCAAUAUUAUUCAUAUUGUCAGAAAACAACAAUCUAUCUUUACAAGCAUUCAAGCAUUCAAGCAUUUAUGCAUUUCAUGAUAACUGCUUCAUGGGUUUUAUUUUAUUUAUUAUUAUCAAAUCAUCCAAACCAAAUGAGCCCACACUACUAGGUUUGGUGGUGAUGAUGAUGUACCGUUACUCUCGGCUGUCCGGGCCACAGCAGAUUUGACCCAACAAGGAACAUGUGAGAGCCCACAUGUUAAAAACAUAGUGCCACUCACUGACCCCUCACACCAUCACCGUCCAUCCAAUCAAUGUUAUAUGUGAAACAUGGUGAGCUCACUCCAGAAUCCCUGGUGGGCCCAAUCCCUCACUCAACAAAGAACACAAAGGGAAGGGAAGCCUCCUCCUCCUCCUCCUCCUCCUCCUCCUCCUCCUCCUCACAUACAAACACGUACUGCAGCAGAUCAUCAACAACACACCUACCUACUCCGUGAACUCAACACUGCACUUCAAGUUCUAACCAAUUUAUUUCAUGAUCUAUUAAAAGUGUGGAUAAGAAACACUCACUGAAAUUUGGUUUAAGACUUCAAACCAUCUAUUUAUCUUUAUAAGUUAUGACAAAAAAUAUUAUUCCUUAUAAAAGUGGUAAUCAUCACUACAUCAUCCAAACCAUAGUUUAAAAGCAAGUUAUAACAAAAUCCUAAUAGAAUAUACUACUAUGUACACAAAAUCAUUCAUUCCUAGCCCUAAAAUUCUGCAGCAUUUCUGUAAUGCUGUCCAACUUCUCUGGCUAAUAUAAUAUUCCUCUUUUAUUUGUCUAACACUGACUGACUUGGAUCACUUUCUGUGUGUGUUUUCUUUAUUUUUGUCUUUUUGGGUUUUCCCUACACUCAGACGGACUCAGUUGUGUAUCGGAGGUUUUCUCCUUGCUGGAGAAUAGUCCAUUUCAGUCAUGUCUGUGAGGUCAGGAUAGUGUUGGACUUGGUGGGCUACUGCAGCCUCCUGCUCCUGGUGCUUUGAAAUAACCGAUGAUGACUUAGCUUUCGCAUCACCAUCUUCCCCACCAGGCUGUGUAUUAUUAUUAACCUUUUCACCUUUUGGGUCCAGGUCACCUCUGUUCCCUCCAUCAUCCUUGUCAUUCUGUACAUGGAUCACACAGAAUCAGAGACACCUAACCUAACCCCUAUCAAUUGUUACUUAAACUUAAAUACGAGAUUAUUAUAUUGUUAUUUUGACUAAUUAAACCAACCUUUGAAGGGGUGUUAGUGGUUGUGGUAGCAGCACUAGAGGCUGUCUUAGAGACUAGUUUUCUAGUCUUUCCUGCAACAAUACAAAUCAAAACCACUUAAUUAAGGUAAUGUAAUAUGUAUGAGUCUUUGAUUUACUGCAUGAACUUAAGUUAAUCAGAUUAGUUUCGGGAAGGGACAAAAAUUGUUGUGUAGAUUGGAAACCCAAGAGUUUGAAGAACAUUGAUCCUAUUCUUCUAGCUAUAUAUCUCUAACUAAGCUCUUCUAGUAGCCAAAAAAUGGAUAAAAUUAAGAAGGAUGGAAUGAUAUAAUAAAAUGUAGCUAGGAAGGUAAUUAACUAAACUAAUGGUGCUUGGGUUUGUGGGUCCUAGGUCCAUAAUAAUCUUCAUGAAUACUUGGUAACCAGUGGUGUGAUGACUUCUUGGAUUCUCUAGAAACUGUUUUCUUCAAGGUACCUGAUGAUGAACACUCUCCACCAUCUUUGCAGAGACUGUUGAACUCUCCUGGACCAGCACUUCUUUUCAUUGAAGCAGUUUCCUGUUCCUGCAUUUAACAAUCAAAUUACGGAAAGUAAUGUAAGAAAAAUAUUUUGCACAGAGAAGAAGAAUGAGAAACAUGUAUACAUAUAUUGUUCUUCCACGUCUGAAAUUUUAAUUAUCUUGAAUGGUGAGAAAAUUUUACAAAGAACAUGAAAGAAGAGCUCACUUGUAAAUUAUUAUUAUUUUUCUGUUGUGCAACAGAGAUGAAUCCUUUCUCCAAUCGAAUCCCUUCAAAAGAAAACCAAAAUGAGCUAAUUUGAAACCAAUAUUUCAUAGACAUAAAUAGUUUUCUAACAACUAGGUUUUGCAAAAAUAUAUACCUUGAGCCCCAGAAAGGAGGAGGGACAAAAGAAGAAGAGAGACUGCUAGAGAUGGAGUUGUCAUUUGGAGUAAAUCUUAUGAAACAGAAAUAUGGCAGAAGAAAUACUGAGUGAGAGAUGGGCAAGAAGAUUAAAUGUCAGGAACAACAAAGUGUUGUGUUCUGUUUGCUGCACUGCAGGUUUCUCUUUUUCUUUCUCUCUGUUUAAAAGCUUGAACAUGCAGAGCAAAAUCUGAAUGGUAGAUGGUUUGGGUUUGGGAGAUCCCUGCUUAAAUACAUAUAUAAUCUUUGGGUUGGGCCCACCCACACUAAUUUCUUCAACAUGUAAACUUUAUAUGAGAUGGAUGAUUAUGCUUUCAAUUCUCUUUUUAAAUUUCAUUUCGUUUAAAGUGCAAGUCCUUGUCCAAGGAAAUAAAAGACAUGUUUUAUAAUCCAUUGGAUUACGGUUUGUUUGUGUUAAUCAAAUUCCAGUUCAAAAGGCAAUUCAUUAUGGGGACCAGAUUUGUCUUUUAUGAAAAGGCACAGUUGCUUUGCUCACUCUCUGCCUUCCCUGCAAAAUGUCCCAUCUUUUUGGGGUAAAAUGAGGAUUUCCUGAAUCCUCUCUCAAAUCUUGUUUAAUCUGUUAAUUAAUUUACCCAGUUUUUAGGUUUAAUGGUCUUUGAAUUUUGAUCCGAUUCACAUUCUGGUCUUUCAAUUUUCAAAAUCGUUCCCGUGGUCUUUCAACUUUAGUUUCGUUAUGAGAAAUAGUCAUGUCGUCAAUUUUGUUAUUUUUUUCUAUUAAAUUUGAGCAUGUGCACAUUGUAUAUUGUUGAGGGUCAAAAUUAGAAAUUGCUUCACUUUUGAGGUAAAUUAAAAAUAUUCAGAAGAUUUUUUAGUUUUUAUUUUAAUUUUUUGAGUGAAAAGAAUAUUCAUAUGGUGAAAAUUAAAAAUAAUACAAAAAGAUUAUUUUCUCCCUUCAUUUAAUAGAAAAGAUAAGAAAAUUAAUGGCAUAAUCAUUUAUCCUAACGAAACUAAAAUUGAAAGAUCACGAGAACGAUUUUAAAAAUUAAAAAAUCAAAAUACGAAUCAAGUGGAAAUUAAGAUGACUAUUAAACCUAAGAACCCUUAAUUUACCAUGCCUUUUCUUUUUAAUGCCCUAUCUUCUCAGAAGCACGAUGUAUCAAUCAGACUUGCACACAUCCAUAUAAUUUGCUUUCCGUGUUGUACCAUGCAACAAAAAACAAACCCUUUGGUGGGAUUAGACAAGCUGAUUUGCCAAGUGGUACCAACCCAACCAAGCAUGUAAUUUUGCCGUAAUUUGGUUGGUCAAGGAAUAGAAUCAUUUAAAAAAGGAAUAGAAUCAUAUGGCUAUAAGAGCAUAGGUAUUCCGUUUAGGGUGAUUGAUCAGAUCAGAUAUGACGCAUGCACUUUACAACUUUUGCGUUUAUAUGGUAUGCCUGAUUGGAGCGAGGGACGGGACGUGCAUACUGCAUUCCACACUCACUCAUGACAACUCAAGGCCUUUCCUUUCACUUGUAUUUACCAAAGAUGCUUGCAAGGCAUGCCUUUUUUUAAUUUAUAAAAAUGCAAAUUACUUGCUACUGUUUAGUUCAUGGGUUCCUGUACAGUUAUAUGUUAAUCAUGAAUCAGACAGUGCCACGACUUGAGCUCUCAAAACGCAGUGGGCAGCAGCCCACGUGUCACAGGAAGCAACCGGAGUAAAUGUGACGGCGACAGGCAAAGUUGAAAGUCACCCAUUUCGCACCGCCUCCUCCAGUCCAGACGUGGCAGUAUAUGUCUCUAGGUACUGGCUGCCGGCUCAAGGGAUGACCACUCCACGUGGACGUCGACAUCUAGCAGGGUCCACGUCCACCUGAAUAUGACGUGGCAUAAAAUAUGGCCACGUGGGCACCGCCGUUUCACGCGGCAUGUUUGUGCUUUGACCAUAAAAAACAAACAUCCCGGACGACGUUUGUCGAGACUGCCAUGCCAUGACAUUUCGUAAUGGUCCCUUCUUCUCUUGUUUUCUCUUUUUUCACAGCGGUUGUUGAUAGUGUUGUGGUUGCAGCUUCUUAGGUUUUUUUUUAAAA